This 250-nucleotide ribosomal RNA is filed under the name uncultured bacterium. RNAcentral's name for it is "partial 16S ribosomal RNA". It matches the Rfam family "Bacterial small subunit ribosomal RNA", at positions 355 to 603 of the family's 1533-position model. The record is from RNAcentral.
UAGGGAAUAUUGGUCAAUGGAGGCAACUCUGAACCAGCCAUGCCGCGUGUAGGAAGAAGGCGUUCUGCGUUGUAAACUACUUUUGAUUGGGAACAAAUGACUCUUGCGAGAGUAGCUGAGUGUACCAAUAGAAUAAGCCACGGCUAACUACGUGCCAGCAGCCGCGGUAAUACGUAGGUGGCAAGCGUUGUCCGGAUUUAUUGGGUUUAAAGGGUGCGUAGGCGGCUUUUUAAGUCAGUGGUGAAAGCCG